This 1079-nucleotide long non-coding RNA is filed under the name Coturnix japonica (Japanese quail). RNAcentral's name for it is "lncRNA (ENSCJPG00005005168.1)". The record is from RNAcentral. Lineage: Eukaryota; Metazoa; Chordata; Aves; Galliformes; Phasianidae.
GAAAGGCAGAGGAAGUUGAUCUUCUUCACAUAGAGCUAUAAGUAACUUAGACACUAUGGUGACACUCAUUGGGAAAAGCAAUCUGAGGGGCCCAGUUUCCUACUUGGAUUCCCACACAGCAGAGCGCUGUAUCUGGAGGAUGACCCAGCAGUGUAUCCUGUAGGACAGGCUCAACAUAACUUGCUGCUGAGAUGCAUCUUCUCUGCACUGUGAGAAAUGAGCCUUUCUCUGCAGUUUAAGUCACAGCGGUAAAUAAGCAGUGAAAAAAGGACCCCGAGUCAAACCUUUUCCUGGGCUGGGUGCUUGCAGCACUGCUGGUGUAACGUUAACAUUACGUGGCUUUAUAAUGAACAUGUGCAUAGUUGGAUUUAACGGCCAGUGGUUCGGCUGAGCAAACAUUUAGAGGGAACGAGAGGAGGAAAAACAUGUAUUUUCUUUAGCCAAUACAAAGGAUGACUAAUUACAUCAGGAACAGCUGCGGUGCCCCUGAAAGGACAGAAGACCAGCUGAUUUCUGCCACGCUUCCCCAGCCAACUGGCAACACCUGAGCACUGCAAGUGGAAUUUAAUCUCCCAGAUGGAAAGCAAAUCAAUCUGCCCAUCGCUGCAGCUGAGGUGUACUUUGGCUCAACUUUAAUUUAUUCUCCGAAGCCGAAGGAAGCUGGUCAUUUCAAGGGGGGAAAAAGGACUUCAGGAAGGAAGGAUUCAAAGAGGCAGAUGAGCUGCAGUGUGAUUAUGAAUUCUUCCCCUUCAAUGGGGAAAAGAGAGAGACCCCAGAUUUGCAUUUUUGCUUACUUCCUCUCAGGGGCAAAGUAACGCUUCUGUCAGCAGCUAAUUGCAUCUGAAAGCCAGCCCGGCAACCUGACCAUGACUGCGGUGGGGUAAUUAUACCUGCUCAGCUAAUCAUAGUGGCUGACAACUUAGGAUGAAAAAAGCUUUGGCAGGAUGAUAGCCUACAGAAUUAGAGGGAACUGCUAAAGUACCGCAAUCUUUGAUUCACCCAAAGGACAGUAUUACAGCGAAUUACCUACAGGAGGAAAAGUCAGCGGAGUAGAAGCAGAAGAGCAGUGGAAAGCAAGA